This is a non-coding RNA of Homo sapiens (human), 148 nucleotides long. It matches the Rfam family "Metazoan signal recognition particle RNA". From Rfam's summary of the family: The signal recognition particle (SRP) is a universally conserved ribonucleoprotein. NCBI's taxonomy places the organism in Eukaryota, Metazoa, Chordata, Mammalia, Primates, Hominidae. The record is from Rfam.
GCUGGGUGUGGUGGUGCACACCUGUAGUCCCAGCUACUUGGGAGGCUGAGGCAGGAGAAUCGCUUGAGCUCAGGAGGUUGAGGCUGCAGUGAGUCGUGAUCAUGCCACUGUAUUCCAGCCUGGGUGACAGAGUGACAUCUUGCCUCAA